RNAcentral lists this long non-coding RNA (1373 nucleotides) under Gossypium barbadense (sea-island cotton). Its description in RNAcentral is "long non-coding RNA (GBAR_LNC012995)". Lineage: Eukaryota; Viridiplantae; Streptophyta; Magnoliopsida; Malvales; Malvaceae. The record is from RNAcentral.
UUUCAAACCAACUUUAUAUGUCCAUUUAUUUGAAGACAAAUCUUUGAUAAAAUUUUUGUUCAAAACUAACUCAAUUCAAUUGGUGAUGUAAUUCUAGCUCCAACCAGAUCAAACAUUGGAACAUAAUUAUUUUGAUUCAAAUUAUAUAUUAAAAUUCAAGGGUUUUUUAUUUGUUGUAUAUAUAUAUAUGUAAGGCCCAAAUUAUGCCCGGGCCCAGACCACAAGAAUAAACCAAGAAAAAACAAAAAUAAUUAACGGCCCAUCUAAUGUCCAUUUACAGUUCAAAUCAUUACAAUGUCCACAAGUCCACUUACAAUAUUAAACAACCCCAAACCCAGCUGCAUAACCCAAGACCCAAUUAAGAUCCAAUAGCUAAAACCCUAACCCAAAACCCGGACAGCCCAAUAGGCCCAAUGCCUAAAACAAGAGUCAAGGUAGAAAACCCUAGCCCCAUUCGCUCAGCGCCGCAACGACCCCAGCCCCAGCAGCCUCCGUACACAGUACGUCGUACUCCUCCACGCCAAGCUACGCCAACUGGCCUCCGUACCUGCGAAGAAACAGACAAACACAACAGCAAGGACAAGCAAAAACAAAAAGUAGCAGUAGAGAAAAAUAACAGAAAAUGAAAUUAUUUGUAUUUUUUUCUUCUGAUUUUCGGCUAUAUAAAAGCCUUAUUUUCAUUGUAGGUAGAGAGAAUAGAUACUCAUAUUGAAUAGAGAGUUCAAAAGCAAUUUUUUAGGAAGGCGAUUUUCGAUUUAAAUCUCUGUGUAUUUUUUUUUUGUUUGUUUUUCAUUCUUUUGGGUUCAUAGUUUUAAUGUUUGAAAGAAAAUAAAAAGAGGAGAAAGAAGUUCUUACCUGGAAAAUAUGCCAUAAAUCUCCUUUUUGCUUUGUUUGAAUCGAAGCCAAGAAGAGAUUUGAAGGCUGAAAGAUCAUUCCCCAUGCUUGAAUAUGUAGCUUAGUGUUUGAGAGAGGGAGAGAAUCGGCCAAAUGAGGGGAAAGUAUGGGGUAUUAGGUUUUCUGCCUUAAUUGUGGCUUGAAGAAAUGGCAAUUGCCAUUCAAUUUCCUGCCACUUUGAAAUAAAUUGAAACGGUGGUGUUUAAGGGUGGGGGCCACGUGUUGACCUAUGUCAUGACUCAAUUUGUGCAUUUGUAUGCCAAAUGGGAAAUUUCCACGAUUAAUCCCUCGCUUUUUGCACCAAAUUUCAGCAGACCCCAUUGGCACCCAUGUGUUUUAUUUUAAUUUUUCCCCAAAAAUUUGUACACUAUUUCAUUUUAGUUCGCUCCAAGGUGUAGCGUUUCGGGGGGUCCGGAUUAUUUUCAUUUAGUCCCUGCGCAUUCGCACUUGUUACAAGCUGACCCCUUUGUCAUUUUGGC